AUUCUAACGAGUAUGUGGCUGAUUCAAAUGUUGGAUUUGGAGUAUGAUAGGCUCUUUAUAGCAAGGCUUGUUGGGUUUCUUGAUCCAAAGUGACCAAAUAAGUCCAUUUUGGCUAGUCAAAUCCUAUUGUAAGGUUAGGUUAUAUUUAUGGGACAAGCCUAACUUACUGAGCUAUUAUGUAUCUCCAUGUUUAUUUGGGUUAUCCAACCUUUUUUUUUAAAACAAAAGCAAAUCAGCUAAACAAGUUUUUAAAAAUGACUAUUUUAAUAUUAUUAUUUUAUUUCUUAAUAAGCCUAGAAAAAGUUGAAUAGCAAAUGC
RNAcentral lists this long non-coding RNA (318 nucleotides) under Elaeis guineensis (African oil palm). Its description in RNAcentral is "long non-coding RNA (EGUI_LNC007902)". Lineage: Eukaryota; Viridiplantae; Streptophyta; Magnoliopsida; Arecales; Arecaceae. The record is from RNAcentral.